UUACUACCCCCUCCGUCCGGAAAUACUUGUCAUUGAAAUAGAUGUAUUGUAUUUUAGUUCUACAUACAUUCAUUUUCAUCCAUUUUGAUGACAAGUAAUUCCGGACGGAGGGAGUACAUU
Triticum aestivum (bread wheat) is the source of this 120-nucleotide non-coding RNA. The record is from Rfam. NCBI's taxonomy places the organism in Eukaryota, Viridiplantae, Streptophyta, Magnoliopsida, Poales, Poaceae.